UACGUAGGGUGCGAGCGUUAAUCGGAAUUACUGGGCGUAAAGCGUGCGCAGGCGGUUCGUUGUGUCUGAUGUGAAAGCCCCGGGCUUAACCUGGGAAUGGCAUUGGAAACUGGCGAGCUGGAGUGUGGCAGAGGGGGGUGGAAUUCCGCGUGUAGCAGUGAAAUGCGUAGAGAUGCGGAGGAACACCGAUGGCGAAGGCAAUCCCCUGGGCCUGCACUGACGCUCAUGCACGAAAGCGUGGGGAGCAAACGGG
This 253-nucleotide ribosomal RNA is filed under the name uncultured bacterium. RNAcentral's name for it is "partial 16S ribosomal RNA". It matches the Rfam family "Bacterial small subunit ribosomal RNA", at positions 524 to 776 of the family's 1533-position model. The record is from RNAcentral.